This 492-nucleotide ribosomal RNA is filed under the name uncultured bacterium. RNAcentral describes it as "partial 16S ribosomal RNA". It matches the Rfam family "Bacterial small subunit ribosomal RNA", at positions 29 to 507 of the family's 1533-position model. The record is from RNAcentral.
AGUGAACGCUGGCGGUAGGCCUAACACAUGCAAGUCGAACGGCAGCACAGUAAGAGCUUGCUCUUACGGGUGGCGAGUGGCGGACGGGUGAGGAAUACAUCGGAAUCUACUUUUUCGUGGGGGAUAACGUAGGGAAACUUACGCUAAUACCGCAUACGACCUACGGGUGAAAGCAGGGGAUCUUCGGACCUUGCGCGAUUGAAUGAGCCGAUGUCGGAUUAGCUAGUUGGCGGGGUAAAGGCCCACCAAGGCGACGAUCCGUAGCUGGUCUGAGAGGAUGAUCAGCCACACUGGAACUGAGACACGGUCCCGACUCCUACGGGUGGCAGCAGUGGGGAAUAUUGGACAAUGGGCGCAAGCCUGAUCCAGCCAUACCGCGUGGGUGAAGAAGGCCUUCGGGUUGUAAAGCCCUUUUGUUGGGAAAGAAAAGCAGCAGGUUAAUACCCCGCUGUUCUGACGGUACCCAAAGAAUAAGCACCGGCUAACUUCGUG